This 427-nucleotide ribosomal RNA is filed under the name uncultured bacterium. Its description in RNAcentral is "partial 16S ribosomal RNA". It matches the Rfam family "Bacterial small subunit ribosomal RNA", at positions 355 to 774 of the family's 1533-position model. The record is from RNAcentral.
UGGGGAAUAUUGCACAAUGGGCGCAAGCCUGAUGCAGCCAUGCCGCGUGUAUGAAGAAGGCCUUCGGGUUGUAAAGUACUUUCAGCGGGGAGGAAGGCGAUAAGGUUAAUAACCUUGUCGAUUGACGUUACCCGCAGAAGAAGCACCGGCUAACUCCGUGCCAGCAGCCGCGGUAAUACGGAGGGUGCAAGCGUUAAUCGGAUUUACUGGGCGUAAAGCGCACGCAGGCGGUCUGUCAAGUCGGAUGUGAAAUCCCCGGGCUCAACCUGGGAACUGCAUUCGAAACUGGCAGGCUAGAGUCUUGUAGAGGGGGGUAGAAUUCCAGGUGUAGCGGUGAAAUGCGUAGAGAUCUGGAGGAAUACCGGUGGCGAAGGCGGCCCCCUGGACAAAGACUGACGCUCAGGUGCGAAAGCGUGGGGAGCAAACA